AGCUUUGCACAGUGGCAGUAUCAUAGCCAAUGAGGUUUAUCCAAGGUGCGAGUAUUGCUAAUUUGAAACUUUCCAAUACCCCACCAUAACAACUUGAAAUGUAGUCAGCACUGGCGAUUUUUGACAGUCUCUACAGAGA
Molecule: small nuclear RNA, 139 nt
Organism: Gorilla gorilla gorilla (western lowland gorilla)
Lineage: Eukaryota; Metazoa; Chordata; Mammalia; Primates; Hominidae
Gene: U4
Rfam family: U4 spliceosomal RNA
About the family: U4 small nuclear RNA (U4 snRNA) is a component of the major U2-dependent spliceosome. The structure of U4 snRNA from yeast and human has been reported. U4 snRNA presents a k-turn RNA motif in the 5p-SL related to recognition of Snu13 protein.
Source: Ensembl